GACGAACGCUGGCGGCGUGCUUAACACAUGCAAGUCGAACGGAAAGGCCCUGCUUUUGUGGGGUGCUCGAGUGGCGAACGGGUGAGUAACACGUGAGUAACCUGCCCUUGACUUUGGGAUAACUUCAGGAAACUGGGGCUAAUACCGGAUAGGAGCUCCUGCUGCAUGGUGGGGGUUGGAAAGUUUCGGCGGUUGGGGAUGGACUCGCGGCUUAUCAGCUUGUUGGUGGGGUAGUGGCUUACCAAGGCUUUGACGGGUAGCCGGCCUGAGAGGGUGACCGGCCACAUUGGGACUGAGAUACGGCACAGACUCCUACGGGAGGCAGCAGUGGGGAAUAUUGCACAAUGGGCGGAAGCCUGAUGCAGCAACGCCGCGUGCGGGAUGACGGCCUUCGGAUUGUAAACCGCUUUCGCCUGUGACGAAGCGUGAGUGACGGUAAUGGGUAAAGAAGCACCGGCUAACUACGUG
This 468-nucleotide ribosomal RNA is filed under the name uncultured bacterium. RNAcentral's name for it is "partial 16S ribosomal RNA". It matches the Rfam family "Bacterial small subunit ribosomal RNA", at positions 28 to 507 of the family's 1533-position model. The record is from RNAcentral.